CGGAGGCAAAUUGAAAACAGGCCCAUUGUCAUCAUUUGUUAACGAGUAAAAGAUGAUCUGGUCUGUUCCUCAACUCUCAAAGUAAACAGAAAAGUGAUGAGUAUAUGCUAAGUAUUUUAAGUCAACAAUAUAAAAUUGACAGGAGAAGCUGAGUUAUUCUGUCAGUAAAUCUCUGACAGAAGAACGGAGGCCAAGCCUCAGGACUGGAUGUUUGAAGGUGUCCACUGAAGACCAAUUUUGGAAAGAAUUAUCAGGGAGAGGAAGAAACUAAGAAAGGAAAUGUAACUAGAGUUAUGGAUCUUAAAAUUCCUAUAGAAUAUUUUAUGAAAUGUAAAUAUAUUUGGAUACAUUUGAUAACUUUAAUUUAAAGUAUAAAUUAUAAAGUUUAGCCCA
Long non-coding RNA from Peromyscus eremicus (cactus mouse), 393 nucleotides. RefSeq lists it as uncharacterized. The record is from RefSeq and is a predicted model, not a curated record. The transcript has 3 exons. NCBI's taxonomy places the organism in Eukaryota, Metazoa, Chordata, Mammalia, Rodentia, Cricetidae.